Molecule: transfer RNA, 69 nt
Filed under: Marmota monax (woodchuck)
Lineage: Eukaryota; Metazoa; Chordata; Mammalia; Rodentia; Sciuridae
Rfam family: tRNA
About the family: Transfer RNA (tRNA) molecules are approximately 80 nucleotides in length. Their secondary structure includes four short double-helical elements and three loops (D, anti-codon, and T loops).
Source: Rfam by way of RNAcentral
GGGGUUGUGGCUCAGUGGUAGAGUGCUUGCUUAGGAUGCUUGAGGCAAUGAUUUAAAUCCUCAGCACCA